GGUUAAGCGACUAAGCGUACACGGUGGAUGCCCUGGCAGUCAGAGGCGAUGAAGGACGUGCUAAUCUGCGAAAAGCGUCGGUAAGGUGAUAUGAACCGUUAUAACCGGCGAUGUCCGAAUGGGGAAACCCAGUGCAAUUCGUUGCACUAUCGUUAACUGAAUACAUAGGUUAACGAGGCGAACCGGGGGAACUGAAACAUCUAAGUACCCCGAGGAAAAGAAAUCAACCGAGAUUCCCCCAGUAGCGGCGAGCGAACGGGGAGCAGCCCAGAGUCUGAAUCAGCUUGUGUGUUAGUGGAACGGUCUGGAAAGUCCGACGGUACAGGGUGAUAGUCCCGUACACCAAAAUGCACAGGCUGUGAACUCGAAGAGUAGGGCGGGACACGUGGUAUCCUGUCUGAAUAUGGGGGGACCAUCCUCCAAGGCUAAAUACUCCUGACUGACCGAUAGUGAACCAGUACCGUGAGGGAAAGGCGAAAAGAACCCCGGCGAGGGGAGUGAAAAAGAACCUGAAACCGUGUACGUACAAGCAGUGGGAGCACCUUCGGGUGUGACUGCGUACCUUUUGUAUAAUGGGUCAGCGACUUAUAUUCUGUAGCAAGGUUAACCGUAUAGGGGAGCCGCAGGGAAACCGAGUCUUAACUGGGCGUUAAGUUGCAGGGUAUAGACCCGAAACCCGGUGAUCUAGCCAUGGGCAGGUUGAAGGUUGGGUAACACUAACUGGAGGACCGAACCGACUAAUGUUGAAAAAUUAGCGGAUGACUUGUGGCUGGGGGUGAAAGGCCAAUCAAACCGGGAGAUAGCUGGUUCUCCCCGAAAGCUAUUUAGGUAGCGCCUCGUGAAUUCAUCUUCGGGGGUAGAGCACUGUUUCGGCUAGGGGGUCAUCCCGACUUACCAACCCGAUGCAAACUACGAAUACCGAAGAAUGUUAUCACGGGAGACACACGGCGGGUGCUAACGUCCGUCGUGAAGAGGGAAACAACCCAGACCGCCAGCUAAGGUCCCAAAGUCAUGGUUAAGUGGGAAACGAUGUGGGAAGGCACAGACAGCCAGGAUGUUGGCUUAGAAGCAGCCAUCAUUUAAAGAAAGCGUAAUAGCUCACUGGUCGAGUCGGCCUGCGCGGAAGAUGUAACGGGGCUAAACCAUGCACCGAAGCUGCGGCAGCGACACUAUGUGUUGUUGGGUAGGGGAGCGUUCUGUAAGCCUGCGAAGGUGUGCUGUGAGGCAUGCUGGAGGUAUCAGAAGUGCGAAUGCUGACAUAAGUAACGAUAAAGCGGGUGAAAAGCCCGCUCGCCGGAAGACCAAGGGUUCCUGUCCAACGUUAAUCGGGGCAGGGUGAGUCGACCCCUAAGGCGAGGCCGAAAGGCGUAGUCGAUGGGAAACAGGUUAAUAUUCCUGUACUUGGUGUUACUGCGAAGGGGGGACGGAGAAGGCUAUGUUAGCCGGGCGACGGUUGUCCCGGUUUAAGCAUGUAGGCUGGUUGUCCAGGCAAAUCCGGAUAAUCAAGGCUGAGGUGUGAUGACGAGGUACUACGGUGCUGAAGUAACAAAUGCCCUGCUUCCAGGAAAAGCCUCUAAGCAUCAGGUAACAUCAAAUCGUACCCCAAACCGACACAGGUGGUCAGGUAGAGAAUACCAAGGCGCUUGAGAGAACUCGGGUGAAGGAACUAGGCAAAAUGGUGCCGUAACUUCGGGAGAAGGCACGCUGGUGUGUAGGUGAAGUCCCUGCGGAUGGAGCUGAGACCAGUCGAAGAUACCAGCUGGCUGCAACUGUUUAUUAAAAACACAGCACUGUGCAAACACGAAAGUGGACGUAUACGGUGUGACGCCUGCCCGGUGCCGGAAGGUUAAUUGAUGGGGUUAUCCGUAAGGAGAAGCUCUUGAUCGAAGCCCCGGUAAACGGCGGCCGUAACUAUAACGGUCCUAAGGUAGCGAAAUUCCUUGUCGGGUAAGUUCCGACCUGCACGAAUGGCGUAAUGAUGGCCAGGCUGUCUCCACCCGAGACUCAGUGAAAUUGAACUCGCUGUGAAGAUGCAGUGUACCCGCGGCAAGACGGAAAGACCCCGUGAACCUUUACUAUAGCUUGACACUGAACAUUGAGCCUUGAUGUGUAGGAUAGGUGGGAGGCUUUGAAGCGUGGACGCCAGUCUGCGUGGAGCCAACCUUGAAAUACCACCCUUUAAUGUUUGAUGUUCUAACGUUGGCCCCUGACCGGGGUUGCGGACAGUGUCUGGUGGGUAGUUUGACUGGGGCGGUCUCCUCCCAAAGCGUAACGGAGGAGCACGAAGGUUAGCUAAUCCUGGUCGGACAUCAGGAGGUUAGUGCAAUGGCAUAAGCUAGCUUGACUGCGAGCGUGACGGCGCGAGCAGGUGCGAAAGCAGGUCAUAGUGAUCCGGUGGUUCUGAAUGGAAGGGCCAUCGCUCAACGGAUAAAAGGUACUCCGGGGAUAACAGGCUGAUACCGCCCAAGAGUUCAUAUCGACGGCGGUGUUUGGCACCUCGAUGUCGGCUCAUCACAUCCUGGGGCUGAAGUAGGUCCCAAGGGUAUGGCUGUUCGCCAUUUAAAGUGGUACGCGAGCUGGGUUUAGAACGUCGUGAGACAGUUCGGUCCCUAUCUGCCGUGGGCGCUGGAGAAUUGAGGGGGGCUGCUCCUAGUACGAGAGGACCGGAGUGGACGCAUCACUGGUGUUCGGGUUGUCAUGCCAAUGGCACUGCCCGGUAGCUAAAUGCGGAAGAGAUAAGUGCUGAAAGCAUCUAAGCACGAAACUUGCCCCGAGAUGAGUUCUCCCUGAGACUUUAAGUCUCCUGAAGGAACGUUGAAGACGACGACGUUGAUAGGCCGGGUGUGUAAGCGCAGCGAUGCGUUGAGCUAACCGGUACUAAUGAACCGUGAGGCUUAACCUU
RNAcentral lists this ribosomal RNA (2902 nucleotides) under Klebsiella pneumoniae. RNAcentral describes it as "23S ribosomal RNA". It matches the Rfam family "Bacterial large subunit ribosomal RNA". The record is from RNAcentral. RNAcentral also lists the same sequence under 1 other name. Lineage: Bacteria; Pseudomonadati; Pseudomonadota; Gammaproteobacteria; Enterobacterales; Enterobacteriaceae.